Molecule: ribosomal RNA, 541 nt
Filed under: uncultured bacterium
Lineage: Bacteria
Description: bacterial SSU rRNA
Rfam family: Bacterial small subunit ribosomal RNA
Source: RNAcentral
ACAGCUAGCUAUUUAGGUUAGAGUUUGAUCCUGGCUCAGGAUAAACGCUGGCGGCGUGCUUCAGGCAUGCAAGUCGAACGAGUGGCCACCUUCGGGUGGUCUACUAGUGGCGGACGGGUGAGUAACGCGUUAGCAACCUGCCCAAAAGUGGGGAAUAACUAACCGAAAGGUUAGCUAAUACCGCAUGUGAUAGCUGGUUCUUGGACUGGUUAUGAAAGGCUUCGGUCGCUUUUGGAGGGGCUUGCGUCAGAUUAGCUAGUUGGUGGGGUAAUGGCCUACCAAGGCGACGAUCUGUAGCUGGUCUGAGAGGACGAUCAGCCACACGGGGACUGAGACACGGCCCAGACUCCUACGGGAGGCAGCAGUGGGGAAUCUUGCGCAAUGCGCGAAAGCGUGACGCAGCAACGCCGCGUGGGGGAAGAAGGCCUUCGGGUUGUAAACCUCUUUCAGGAGGGACGAAGCUCCUCGGGUUAAUAGCCCAGAGGGUGACGGUACCUCCAGAAGAAGCCCCGGCUAACUACGUGCCAGCAGCCGCGGUGUC